UACAGGGGGUGCAAACGUUGCUCGGAAUUAUUGGGCGUAAAGCGCGCGUAGGCGGCCACUUAAGUCGGAUGUGAAAGCCCCUGGCUCAACUGGGGAAGUGCACCCGAAACUGAAUGGCUUGAAUGCAAAAGAGGGUCGCGGAAUUCCCAGUGUAGAGGUGAAAUUCGUAGAUAUUGGGAAGAACACCGGUGGCGAAGGCGGCUAUCUGGCCCGUAAUUGACGCUGAGGCGCGAAAGCGUGGGGAGCAAACAGG
Molecule: ribosomal RNA, 253 nt
Filed under: uncultured bacterium
Lineage: Bacteria
Description: partial 16S ribosomal RNA
Rfam family: Bacterial small subunit ribosomal RNA
Source: RNAcentral